GACGAACGCUGGCGGCGUGCCUAAUACAUGCAAGUAGAACGCUGAAGCUUGGUGCUUGCACCGAGCGGAUGAGUUGCGAACGGGUGAGUAACGCGUAGGUAACCUGCCUGGUAGCGGGGGAUAACUAUUGGAAACGAUAGCUAAUACCGCAUAAGAGUAGAUGUUGCAUGACAUUUGCUUAAAAGGUGCAAAUGCAUCACUACCAGAUGGACCUGCGUUGUAUUAGCUAGUUGGUGAGGUAACGGCUCACCAAGGCAACGAUACAUAGCCGACCUGAGAGGGUGAUCGGCCACACUGGGACUGAGACACGGCCCAGACUCCUACGGGAGGCAGCAGUAGGGAAUCUUCGGCAAUGGACGGAAGUCUGACCGAGCAACGCCGCGUGAGUGAAGAAGGUUUUCGGAUCGUAAAGCUCUGUUGUAAGAGAAGAACGAGUGUGAGAGUGGAAAGUUCACACUGUGACG
This 464-nucleotide ribosomal RNA is filed under the name Streptococcus sp. oral taxon C08. Its description in RNAcentral is "bacterial SSU rRNA". It matches the Rfam family "Bacterial small subunit ribosomal RNA", at positions 28 to 474 of the family's 1533-position model. The record is from RNAcentral. Lineage: Bacteria; Bacillati; Bacillota; Bacilli; Lactobacillales; Streptococcaceae.